AUGUACCCUUUACACUCCGCUCCCUCCGCGCCGGCCGCACCCACCUGACAACAACUGCUCGCUACGUUUUGUUAGCU
RNAcentral lists this small RNA (77 nucleotides) under Xanthomonas campestris pv. campestris. RNAcentral's name for it is "sX9 sRNA". It matches the Rfam family "Xanthomonas sRNA sX9". RNAcentral also lists the same sequence under 1 other name. Lineage: Bacteria; Pseudomonadati; Pseudomonadota; Gammaproteobacteria; Lysobacterales; Lysobacteraceae. The record is from RNAcentral.